GUGGUGGCUCAGUGGUACAGCACUCGCCUCACAUGCAUGAGGUCCUGGGUUCAAUCCUCAGCACUACA
This 68-nucleotide transfer RNA is filed under the name Marmota monax (woodchuck). It matches the Rfam family "tRNA". Rfam says of the family: Transfer RNA (tRNA) molecules are approximately 80 nucleotides in length. Their secondary structure includes four short double-helical elements and three loops (D, anti-codon, and T loops). Lineage: Eukaryota; Metazoa; Chordata; Mammalia; Rodentia; Sciuridae. The record is from Rfam by way of RNAcentral.